CAGCAGCCGCGGGAAUACGGAGGGUGCAAGCGUUAAUCGGAAUUACUGGGCGUAAAGCGUGCGCAGGCGGUUCGCUAAGACAGAUGUGAAAUCCCCGGGCUUAACCUGGGAACUGCAUUUGUGACUGGCGGGCUAGAGUAUGGCAGAGGGGGGUAGAAUUCCACGUGUAGCAGUGAAAUGCGUAGAGAUGUGGAGGAAUACCGAUGGCGAAGGCAGCCCCCUGGGCCAAUACUGACGCUCAUGCACGAAAGCGUGGGGAGCAAACAGGAUUAGAUACCCGUGUAGUCCCUGUCUCUUAUAC
RNAcentral lists this ribosomal RNA (301 nucleotides) under uncultured bacterium. RNAcentral's name for it is "partial 16S ribosomal RNA". It matches the Rfam family "Bacterial small subunit ribosomal RNA", at positions 509 to 807 of the family's 1533-position model. The record is from RNAcentral.